CUACGUGCCAGCAGCCGCGGUCAUACGUAGGUCCCGAGCGUUAUCCGGAGUGACUGGGCGUAAAGAGUUGCGUAGGCGGUCAAGUUAGCGAGCGAUGAAAACUAUCGGCUCAACCGAUAGCUUGUUGUUCGAACUGCUUGACUCGAGAGUAUCAGAGGUCGCUGGAAUUCCUAGUGUAGCAGUGAAAUGCGUAGAUAUUAGGAAGAACACCGAUGGCGUAGGCAGGCGACUGGGAUAUUUCUGACGCUAAGGCACGAAAGCGUGGGUAGCGAACCGGAUUAGAUACCCGGGUAGUCCACGCCGUAAACGAUGGAUGCUAAUUGUUUGAGGUAUCGACCCCUCGAGUAAUAAAGCUAACGCGUUAAGCAUCCCGCCUGUGGAGUACGGCCGCAAGGCUAAAACAUAAAGGAAUUGACGGGGACCCGCACAAGCGGUGGAGGAUGUUCUUUAAUUCGACGUUAAGCGAAGAACCUUACCAGGGCUUGACAUCCCUA
This 494-nucleotide ribosomal RNA is filed under the name uncultured bacterium. RNAcentral describes it as "bacterial SSU rRNA". It matches the Rfam family "Bacterial small subunit ribosomal RNA", at positions 501 to 992 of the family's 1533-position model. The record is from RNAcentral.